Molecule: long non-coding RNA, 150 nt
Organism: Phymastichus coffea
Lineage: Eukaryota; Metazoa; Arthropoda; Insecta; Hymenoptera; Eulophidae
Exons: 3
Source: RefSeq, a predicted model, not a curated record
UCCGACAGCAACAUUUUAUCAUCUAUUAUUAGCAAUUUUAUCAAUCCUUCAUUCAAUCAUGGUUGAUCCUGCUCAAAAACUGAGGAUUGGCCAGCUGCUGCAGGGAGUGAUUGAGUUGCAGCAGAUAUUGGAUUUUUCUGAGCGCUCGGC